UGCCAGACUCCUACGGGAGGCAGCAGUGAGGAAUAUUGGUCAAUGGGCGCGAGCCUGAACCAGCCAAGUCGCGUGAGGGAGGACGGCCCUACGGGUUGUAAACCUCUUUUGCCGGGGAGCAACGGGCGUCACGUGUGGCGCCACUGAGAGUACCCGGAGAAAAAGCAUCGGCUAACUCCGUGCCAGCAGCCGCGGUAAUACGGAGGAUGCGAGCGUUAUCCGGAUUUAUUGGGUUUAAAGGGAGCGUAGGCCGGUCUUUAAGCGUGCCGUGAAAUUUUGUGGCUCAACCAUGAGAGUGCGGCGCGAACUGGAGACCUUGAGUGCGCGGAAGGCAGGCGGAAUUCGUGGUGUAGCGGUGAAAUGCUUAGAUAUCACGAAGAACCCCGAUUGCGAAGGCAGCCUGCCGCAGCGUUACUGACGCUGAAGCUCGAAAGCGCGGGUAUCGAACAGGAUUAGAUACCCCGGUACGA
RNAcentral lists this ribosomal RNA (470 nucleotides) under uncultured bacterium. RNAcentral's name for it is "bacterial SSU rRNA". It matches the Rfam family "Bacterial small subunit ribosomal RNA", at positions 329 to 794 of the family's 1533-position model. The record is from RNAcentral.